UGUUUGUGUAGUGUGUGUAUAUAAUGCAGUGUGUUUGUGUAGUGUGUAUAUAAUGCAGUGUGUUUGUAUAGUGUGUAUAUAAUGCAGUGUGUUUAUAUGAUGCACACUACACAAACACACUGCAUUAUAUGCACACACUACACAAAC
RNAcentral lists this microRNA precursor (147 nucleotides) under Pelobates cultripes (western spadefoot toad). The record is from RNAcentral. Lineage: Eukaryota; Metazoa; Chordata; Amphibia; Anura; Pelobatidae.